GAUGAACGCUGGCGGCGUGCCUAAUACAUGCAAGUCGAGCGAACAGACGAGGAGCUUGCUCCUCUGACGUUAGCGGCGGACGGGUGAGUAACACGUGGAUAACCUACCUAUAAGACUGGGAUAACUUCGGGAAACCGGAGCUAAUACCGGAUAACAUGUUGAACCGCAUGGUUCAACAGUGAAAGACGGUCUUGCUGUCACUUAUAGAUGGAUCCGCGCCGCAUUAGCUAGUUGGUAAGGUAACGGCUUACCAAGGCAACGAUGCGUAGCCGACCUGAGAGGGUGAUCGGCCACACUGGAACUGAGACACGGUCCAGACUACUACGGGAGGCAGCAGUAGGGAAUCUUCCGCAAUGGGCGAAAGCCUGACGGAGCAACGCCGCGUGAGUGAAGAAGGUCUUCGGAUCGUAAAACUCUGUUAUUAGGGAAGAACAAAUGUGUAAGUAACUAUGCACGUCUUGACGGUACCUAAUCAGAAAGCCACGGCUAACUACGUG
This 497-nucleotide ribosomal RNA is filed under the name uncultured bacterium. RNAcentral's name for it is "partial 16S ribosomal RNA". It matches the Rfam family "Bacterial small subunit ribosomal RNA", at positions 28 to 507 of the family's 1533-position model. The record is from RNAcentral.